Molecule: ribosomal RNA, 478 nt
Filed under: uncultured bacterium
Lineage: Bacteria
Description: partial 16S ribosomal RNA
Rfam family: Bacterial small subunit ribosomal RNA
Source: RNAcentral
GACGAACGCUGGCGGCGUGCUUAACACAUGCAAGUCGAACGGUAAGGCCCUUCGGGGUACACGAGUGGCGAACGGGUGAGUAACACGUGGGUGAUCUGCCCUGCACUUCGGGAUAAGCCUGGGAAACUGGGUCUAAUACCGGAUAGGACCCUGGGAUGCAUGUCCUGGGGUGGAAAGCUUUUGCGGUGUGGGAUGGGCCCGCGGCCUAUCAGCUUGUUGGUGGGGUGAUGGCCUACCAAGGCGACGACGGGUAGCCGGCCUGAGAGGGUGACCGGCCACACUGGGACUGGGCUACGGCCCAGACUCCUACGGGAGGCAGCAGUGGGGAAUAUUGCACAAUGGGCGCAAGCCUGAUGCAGCGACGCCGCGUGGGGGAUGACGGCCUUCGGAUUGUAAACCUCUUUCAGCACCGACGAAGCGCAAGUGACGGUAGGUGCAGAAGAAGGACCGGCCAACUACGUGCCAGCCGCCGCCGUAA